This 351-nucleotide long non-coding RNA is filed under the name Phoenix dactylifera (date palm). Its description in RNAcentral is "long non-coding RNA (PDAC_LNC002037)". The record is from RNAcentral. Lineage: Eukaryota; Viridiplantae; Streptophyta; Magnoliopsida; Arecales; Arecaceae.
UAUCAUCAUAAUCCACAGGUAGAACCGGGCGAGCAACGACCGUUUUCGUUGAACGUUCGGGAUUCUCAAUCUCAUCCUCGGCCUGGUCUCCGGCGGCCGGUCGCCGGCGAAGGACCGCCUUUUUAUCCUUCGGCGCACAGAUCAUCUCGUUAGGCGUUAAAUUUUCUCUCCUUUUUUUCUCAGACUUAUUUUCUUCUUUAUUCAGACCCUUCAUCAACCCUAACCCUAAAACUUUGGGGUUGGAGUCGAUCUUGGAUUUAGGACGGCUGGAAUCGGUCGUUUUCUUCGUCGUUUUCUGUAUGAUGUAAUAAAUUUAAGAAUAAAGUUCGCAUUUUUAGGUCUGGAUCACGG